UACGUAGGUGGCAAGCGUUGUCCGGAUUUACUGGGCGUAAAGGAUGCGUAGGCGGACAUUUAAGUCAGAUGUGAAAUACCCGAGCUCAACUUGGGUGCUGCAUUUGAAACUGGGUGUCUAGAGUGCAGGAGAGGUAAGUGGAAUUCCUAGUGUAGCGGUGAAAUGCGUAGAGAUUAGGAAGAACACCAGUGGCGAAGGCGACUUACUGGACUGUAACUGACGCUGAGGCAUGAAAGCGUGGGGAGCAAACAGG
RNAcentral lists this ribosomal RNA (253 nucleotides) under uncultured bacterium. RNAcentral's name for it is "partial 16S ribosomal RNA". It matches the Rfam family "Bacterial small subunit ribosomal RNA", at positions 524 to 776 of the family's 1533-position model. The record is from RNAcentral.